Molecule: ribosomal RNA, 478 nt
Filed under: uncultured bacterium
Lineage: Bacteria
Description: partial 16S ribosomal RNA
Rfam family: Bacterial small subunit ribosomal RNA
Source: RNAcentral
GACGAACGCUGGCGGCGUGCUUAACACAUGCAAGUCGAACGGUAAGGCCCUUCGGGGUACACGAGUGGCGAACGGGUGAGUAACACGUGGGUGAUCUGCCCUGCACUUCGGGAUAAGGCUGGGAAACUGGGUCUAAUACCGGAUAGGACUCCGGACUGCAUGGUCUGGGGUGGAAAGCUUUUGCGGUGUGGGAUGGGCCCGCGGCCUAUCAGCUUGUUGGUGGGGUGAUGGCCUACCAAGGCGACGACGGGUAGCCGGCCUGGGAGGGUGACCGGCCACACUGGGACUGAGAUACGGCCCAGACUCCUACGGGAGGCAGCAGUGGGGAAUAUUGCACAAUGGGCGCAAGCCUGAUGCAGCGACGCCGCGUGAGGGAUGACGGCCUUCGGGUUGUAAACCUCUUUCAGCACCGACGAAGCGCAAGUGACGGUAGGUGCAGAAGAAGGACCGGCCAACUACGUGCCAGCCGCCGCGGUAA